Molecule: long non-coding RNA, 218 nt
Filed under: Panax ginseng (ginseng)
Lineage: Eukaryota; Viridiplantae; Streptophyta; Magnoliopsida; Apiales; Araliaceae
Description: long non-coding RNA (PGIN_LNC014236)
Source: RNAcentral
AAAACAACCAAGCAAAUAACCUUAGCUCUGAUACCAGUUGUUGGGAAAAAUCACCACCCAAAGUCUGUUGUUGUUGAUAAAUUAAAUGAAUAAUAAGUAAGAAAAACAAACAAAGAGACACCAAGAUUAUCAAACCACGAGACACCAAGAAUUUUACGUGGAAAACCCUCUAAAACUAAGAGGUAAAAACCACGGGACGAUCUCCGAAAAAUCCACUA